RNAcentral lists this unclassified non-coding RNA (745 nucleotides) under uncultured Hydnum. RNAcentral describes it as "sequence contains ITS1, 5.8S rRNA gene and ITS2". The stretch from base 217 to 370 matches the Rfam family "5.8S ribosomal RNA". Lineage: Eukaryota; Fungi; Basidiomycota; Agaricomycetes; Cantharellales; Hydnaceae. The record is from RNAcentral.
UAACAAGGUUUCCGUAGGUGAACCUGCGGAAGGAUCAUUAUUGAAUUACCGGGGGCUGGAUGCUGGCAGUCUAUGAUUGCAUGUGCUCGCUCUCUUUAAUCCACUUACACAUGUGCACUCAAUUUUGAAGACAGGGUAAAGCCUGUCUUUGAAACCUUAUAAACUCUUACUCGAUGUAAUGAAUGUUUUUAUCUGCCGAAAGGCAAAAUUUAAUACAACUUUUAACAACGGAUCUCUUGGCUCUCGCAUCGAUGAAGAACGCAGCGAAAUGCGAUAAGUAAUGUGAAUUGCAGAAUUCAGUGAAUCAUCGAAUCUUUGAACGCACCUUGCACUCUCUGGUAUUCCGGAGAGUACGCCUGUUCGAGUGUCAUGAAACUCUCAAGCAGAGAUAGCUUUGUUGCUGUUUUUGCUUGGAUUUGGACUUUGCUGUGUCAAUGCGGCUGGUCUUAAAUGUAUUAGCUGAUCCUUAUGUGGUUUGGUUCUACUCAGUGUGAUAAUUAUCUAACGUUGAGGACAGUCUUAGGACUGGCCAGAGCUUAUAUUUGGAUCGCUUCUAAUUGUCCUUUGGACAUAUUAUUCAAUUGUUUGACCUCGGAUCAGGUGGGAUUACCCGCUGAACUUAAGCAUAUCAAUAAGCGGAGGAAAAGAAACUAACAAGGAUUCCCCUAGUAACGGCGAGUGAAGCGGGAUGAGCUCAAAUUUAAAAUCUGGUAGUCUUUGGCUGCCCGAGUUGUAAUCUAGAGAA